This 400-nucleotide ribosomal RNA is filed under the name uncultured bacterium. RNAcentral's name for it is "partial 16S ribosomal RNA". It matches the Rfam family "Bacterial small subunit ribosomal RNA", at positions 338 to 755 of the family's 1533-position model. The record is from RNAcentral.
CCUACGGGAGGCAGCAGUGGGGAAUAUUGCACAAUGGGGGAAACCCUGAUGCAGCGACGCCGCGUGAGUGAAGAAGUAAUUCGUUAGGUAAAGCUCUAUCAGCAGGGAAGAAAAUGACGGUACCUGAGUAAGAAGCCCCGGCUAACUACGUGCCAGCAGCCGCGGUAAUACGGAGGGGGCAAGCGUUAGCCGGAUUGACUGGGUGGAAAGGGAGCGUAGACGGCAGGGCAAGGAUGGAGUGAAAGGCGGGGGCUCAACCCCCGGACUGCUCUGGAAACUGUCCGGCUGGAGUGCAGGAGAGGUAAGUGCAAUUCCUAGUGUCGCGGUGACAUGCGUAGCUAUUAGGCGGAACACCAGUGGCGACGGCGGCUUACUUGACUGUACCUGACGUUGAGGCUCG